This 1383-nucleotide ribosomal RNA is filed under the name Streptomyces aureus. RNAcentral's name for it is "bacterial LSU rRNA". It matches the Rfam family "Bacterial large subunit ribosomal RNA", at positions 1565 to 2925 of the family's 2925-position model. The record is from RNAcentral. Lineage: Bacteria; Bacillati; Actinomycetota; Actinomycetes; Kitasatosporales; Streptomycetaceae.
GAUGCCGAGCCGAUUGUGGUGAAGUGGAUGAUCCUAUGCUGUCGAGAAAAGCCUCUAGCGAGUUUCAUGGCGGCCCGUACCCUAAACCGACUCAGGUGGUCAGGUAGAGAAUACCGAGGCGUUCGGGUGAACUAUGGUUAAGGAACUCGGCAAAAUGCCCCCGUAACUUCGGGAGAAGGGGGGCCAUCACUGGUGAUUGGAUUUACUCCAUGAGCUGGGGGUGGCCGCAGAGACCAGCGAGAAGCGACUGUUUACUAAAAACACAGGUCCGUGCGAAGCCGUAAGGCGAUGUAUACGGACUGACGCCUGCCCGGUGCUGGAACGUUAAGGGGACCGGUUAGUCACUCUUCGGGGUGGCGAAGCUGAGAACUUAAGCGCCAGUAAACGGCGGUGGUAACUAUAACCAUCCUAAGGUAGCGAAAUUCCUUGUCGGGUAAGUUCCGACCUGCACGAAUGGCGUAACGACUUCUCGACUGUCUCAACCAUAGGCCCGGUGAAAUUGCACUACGAGUAAAGAUGCUCGUUUCGCGCAGCAGGACGGAAAGACCCCGGGACCUUUACUACAGUUUGAUAUUGGUGUUCGGUUCGGCUUGUGUAGGAUAGCUGGGAGACUGUGAAGCGGGCACGCCAGUGCUUGUGGAGUCGUCGUUGAAAUACCAGUCUGGUCGUGCUGGAUGUCUAACCUGGGUCCGUGAUCCGGAUCAGGGACAGUGUCUGAUGGGUAGUUUAACUGGGGCGGUUGCCUCCUAAAGAGUAACGGAGGCGCCCAAAGGUUCCCUCAGCCUGGUUGGCAAUCAGGUGUUGAGUGUAAGUGCACAAGGGAGCUUGACUGUGAGACCGACGGGUCGAGCAGGGACGAAAGUCGGGACUAGUGAUCCGGCGGUGGCUUGUGGAAGCGCCGUCGCUCAACGGAUAAAAGGUACCCCGGGGAUAACAGGCUGAUCUUCCCCAAGAGUCCAUAUCGACGGGAUGGUUUGGCACCUCGAUGUCGGCUCGUCGCAUCCUGGGGCUGGAGUCGGUCCCAAGGGUUGGGCUGUUCGCCCAUUAAAGCGGUACGCGAGCUGGGUUUAGAACGUCGUGAGACAGUUCGGUCCCUAUCCGCUGUGCGCGUAGGAAUAUUGAGAAGGGCUGUCCCUAGUACGAGAGGACCGGGACGGACGAACCUCUGGUGUGCCAGUUGUCCUGCCAAGGGCAUGGCUGGUUGGCUACGUUCGGGAGGGAUAACCGCUGAAAGCAUCUAAGCGGGAAGCCUGCUUCAAGAUGAGUAUUCCCACCCCCUUGAGGGGUUAAGGCUCCCAGUAGACGACUGGGUUGAUAGGCCAGAUCUGGAAGCCCGGUAACGGGUGGAGGUGACUGGUACUAAUAGGCCGAGGGCUUGUCCUC